Molecule: ribosomal RNA, 470 nt
Filed under: Veillonella parvula
Lineage: Bacteria; Bacillati; Bacillota; Negativicutes; Veillonellales; Veillonellaceae
Description: bacterial SSU rRNA
Rfam family: Bacterial small subunit ribosomal RNA
Source: RNAcentral
GACGAACGCUGGCGGCGUGCUUAACACAUGCAAGUCGAACGAAGAGCGAUGGAAGCUUGCUUCUAUCAAUUUUAGUGGCGAACGGGUGAGUAACGCGUAAUCAACCUGCCCUUCAGAGGGGGACAACAGUUGGAAACGACUGCUAAUACCGCAUACGAUUUAAUCUCGGCAUCGAGGAUAGAUGAAAGGUGGCCUCUACAUGUAAGCUAUCACUGAAGGAGGGGAUUGCGUCUGAUUAGCUAGUUGGAGGGGUAACGGCCCACCAAGGCGAUGAUCAGUAGCCGGUCUGAGAGGAUGAACGGCCUCAUUGGGACUGAGACACGGCCCAGACUCCUACGGGAGGCAGCAGUGGGGAAUCUUCCGCAAUGGACGAAAGUCUGACGGAGCAACGCCGCGUGAGUGAUGACGGCCUUCGGGUUGUAAAGCUCUGUUAAUCGGGACGAAAGGCCUUCUUGCGAAUAGUGAGAAGG